UGGGGAGUGGUGUAGCUGGCAGCACGGGGCACUUUGGAUGCCCAGGAUCAGGUUCGAACCCUGGCUCCCCAG
Molecule: transfer RNA, 72 nt
Filed under: Actinomycetota bacterium
Lineage: Bacteria; Bacillati; Actinomycetota
Description: tRNA-Gln
Rfam family: tRNA
About the family: Transfer RNA (tRNA) molecules are approximately 80 nucleotides in length. Their secondary structure includes four short double-helical elements and three loops (D, anti-codon, and T loops).
Source: RNAcentral